GGCCGGAUAAGGCUUUUACGCCGCAUCCGGCAGCCGUUGCCUGAUGCGACGCUCGCGCGUCUUAUCAGGCC
This 71-nucleotide non-coding RNA is filed under the name Escherichia coli. RNAcentral describes it as "Nucleoid-associated noncoding RNA 4 (CssrE)". It matches the Rfam family "Nucleoid-associated noncoding RNA 4 (CssrE)". Rfam says of the family: In E. coli small RNA transcribed from repeated extragenic palindromic element (REP325) called nucleoid-associated ncRNA 4 (nRNA4) collaborates HU protein in condensing the DNA. The secondary structure but not the sequence of the RNA is important in nucleoid condensation. Also identified in Shigella as CssrE. Lineage: Bacteria; Pseudomonadati; Pseudomonadota; Gammaproteobacteria; Enterobacterales; Enterobacteriaceae. The record is from RNAcentral.